RNAcentral lists this ribosomal RNA (477 nucleotides) under uncultured bacterium. RNAcentral describes it as "SSU rRNA". It matches the Rfam family "Bacterial small subunit ribosomal RNA", at positions 26 to 518 of the family's 1533-position model. The record is from RNAcentral.
AGGACGAACGCUGGCGGCGUGCUUAACACAUGCAAGUCGAGCGGUAAGGCUCCUUCGGGAGUACACGAGCGGCGAACGGGUGAGUAACACGUGAGCAAUCUGCCCUUCACACGGGGAUAACUCCGGGAAACCGGUGCUAAUACCCGAUACGACCACCGCAGGCAUCUGUUGGUGGUGGAAAGUUCCGGCGGUGAAGGAUGAGCUCGCGGCCUAUCAGCUUGUUGGUGGGGUAACGGCCCACCAAGGCAACGACGGGUAGCCGGCCUGAGAGGGUGACCGGCCACACUGGGACUGAGACACGGCCCAGACUCCUACGGGAGGCAGCAGUGGGGAAUAUUGGACAAUGGGCGAAAGCCUGAUCCAGCAACGCCGCGUGAGGGAUGACGGCCUCGGGUUGUAAACCUCUUUCACCCAGGACGAAGCGCAAGUGACGGUACUGGGAGAAGAAGCACCGGCCAACUACGUGCCAGCAGCCGC